UACAGAGGGGGCAAGCGUUGUUCGGAAUUACUGGGCGUAAAGGGCGCGUAGGCGGCCUGUUAAGUCGAACGUGAAAUCCCCGGGCUCAACCCGGGAACUGCGUCCGAUACUGGCUGGCUUGAAUCCGGGAGAGGGAUGCGGAAUUCCAGGUGUAGCGGUGAAAUGCGUAGAUAUCUGGAGGAACACCGGUGGCGAAGGCGGCAUCCUGGACCGGUAUUGACGCUGAGGCGCGAAAGCGUGGGUAGCAAACAGG
This 253-nucleotide ribosomal RNA is filed under the name uncultured bacterium. RNAcentral's name for it is "partial 16S ribosomal RNA". It matches the Rfam family "Bacterial small subunit ribosomal RNA", at positions 524 to 776 of the family's 1533-position model. The record is from RNAcentral.